UCUCAUUACCCUCCUGUCCAAAACAACUGUGGAUGCAGUAAUCGAUGCUAUCAAGCAUUUAAUUCAAGAGAGCAUCUCAGCAGACAUCAAAAAAGCCGGAAUGUAUUCUGUGCAGCUCGACACAACACAAGAUGUUACAGGGAGAGAGCAGUGUUCUGUGAUUUUGAGGUUUGUGACGGAUGCAGUCCAUGAAAGGCUGGUUGCAGUCGUACAAUGCAGCACAACUACAGGACAGUCGUUUGUGACGCUGUUAACAGAAGUCCUUGAGAGUCUGCAAUUGGACAUAGGCCUGUGCAUUGGAAACGCCACAGAUGGAGCCUCUAAUAUGCAGGGUCAAUACAGAGGUUUCUCUGCAUUAAUGGCAUCCAAAAACCCCACCCAUCAGCAUGUGUGGUGCUAUGCACAUGUCUUGAACCUUGUAUUGUCCGAUACCACCCAUAGCGUCAUUGAAAGUGGAUCACUAUUUGACCUGCUGAACGACAUUGCCGUAUUCAUCAGGGACUCAUACACAAGAGUGAGUGUGUGGGAGACCGAGAGCCAGGACAAGAGGCACAAACGCAUCUCAACAAUUGGAGAGACGAGAUGGUGGGCUAAACAUCAUGCCCUGAGGAAAGUUUUUGGAAACUUUGGCAGACCUGAUGGCGGCCUUUUUGUUGAAGUGGUGUCCACACUUUCUGCCAUAAUGAAGCUGAAGUCACUUGCAUCAAAUGCAAGAAACAAAGCCAGAGGAUACAGAGACGGCUUACUUCGAUACGAAACUGUGCUCACAGCUCAGUUAUUCCUCCGGGUAUUUGAGUUCACCUCACCACUGUCAAAAUACCUACAGACCGGAGGAAUGGACAUCCUCUCUGCACAUAGGAUGGUCACCACAACACACGAUUCACUUACAAAGAUAGCAAGAGAUUUCCCGGCCGUCAAAGAUGCAGCUGACUGUUUUGUCCAUUGGGCAAAUGAAAAGCUAGAGGAGCAGGAUGAUCUAGAUUUGGAAGUGGAGGCAGCACUACCUCAGAAAAGGCUAAAGAAGAAGAAAGUCUUGCCAGGAGAGAUGGCCCAGGAUGAAAGCCUCAGUGAUUCAGAGAAGGCCUAUGAGGUCAAUGUUCACCACCAGAUCCUGGAUACAGCUGUUGAGGCCAUGCACCACAGAUUCCUCACUCAUGGCACUCUGUAUGCAGAUUUAUCCCUCCUACAUCCCAAAAACUUCCCCCUCAUCCAGACCAGUGGCGGUGCACUCCCUGUAUCUGCACUUCAAGAACUCAGCAAGUGUCUAGUUGUGUAUGACAGCAGGGCAACUGUUACAGAUCUACAGAUUGAACUCAGAAACUUGGCACAGCAAUGGGACAGGCUGGUACAAUCACAAUUGGAUAACUACGCAACUAAAGCAGUUGAAGAGGAAUCAGAUGGCCAAGAAGAGAUGGAAAUAAUAAGCAAAACCUGUGUGUCUUGCAAAGAGUGCCCCCUGUGCUGCUACAAAAUCCUUCUCAGGUUUAACAUGCUGACUCACGCAUAUCCGCUACUUGGGUUGGCAUACAAGUUUCUGCUAACCCUGUCAAUAACUCAGGUAGCCUGUGAGCGGUCAUUUUCCACCCUUCGCUACAUCAAAAACCGACUGAGGAGUUGCCUGUCUGCCAGCAAACUGGAAGCCUUCAUGUUGAUGGCCAUUGAAAAGGAUGUCCUUGUGUCCCUUGAAACUGACACAGUGAUUGACAGAGUUGCAGAGAAGAGCGAAUCAAUGAAGAAACUGCUUUUAUAAGGUGAGAUUUAUGAUAAAUAAAUACAUUUGUGUUAAAUUAGUGGAUUUAAUAAAAAAUGUUGACAGAAAAUAAUGUUGUUAUUGCUUUGCUCUCUGCUCUCCUCCUCUCUCAGGGUGCCCUUGCUGUUUUCAGUUGCUCAAGUUCCUGCUCAUCCAAUUUCAUUGCCUUGCUACAUAUUUGUUCUUGUGGACUAUUGGAGGGCCAUUCAACAUUUUCUCAACCAGUAUGUAUAUCAGACUGUUGUCUAGCUCUAUUUAUUUUUUUAGUCAUCAGUCCUGUCCUGCUAUAAUGCAAUUGGUUUGUAUCACUCACUUUUUGUGUCUGUCAAACUCUUUUUUUUAAGGCUGCCCUGUCCCCCAGGGGUGUUCCAGGGAUGUGCAUUUCAUUGGUGUGGACUUCACAGGCAUUCUUCAAAUUUGUAAGUUUACAAUACUGUUGUUUUGUGUUCUUGCUGGCAUCCACCUGGAUGGUCAUAAAGCCUACUACUUUUACAGAGUGACUGUAAUGAAUGCAACUAUCCAUUAUUGUAUUACUUUAAAGACACCAAUACUAUCAAUGUAAAUUUUUUGAAACAUUCAAAUUUUCACUGUUCUCUUGACCCACCUGGCCUCUCUUUCUCUCCCCUUAGGUAAUUUUUGGAGUGAAGGAUUGCCUUCCCCUGAUGUGGAGUUCACGUGUGUUCUUUUUGUUUCAUUGUGAGUUUACUAAAUAGCUCUUAUUUUGAUUAUAGAAGAGACAGUAUCAGAUGAAUCUAUCAUAUCUGACUGCUCCUUUCUGUCUCCCUCAGAGCACCAAGGUCCAUGCAGCCUUUUGUCUCAGCAUAUGGUGCCACUUUGACUUACUGUGUUAUAAUUUGGUGUGUUCUAGUUAGUGUAAAUAAGAUAAUACAUAUAUUGUGUAUACUUCCUGUUGUUGUUGUUCUCUGUUCUUGCAUUUUUUGCUGACUGUGAGACGGUUCAAACUGUACAUAUUAUAAGCAUUAGUCAUUUCAGAGGAGAUUUGACCUAGCUGCAAAACCUCCAUUGUGCCCAAAUACAAAUGCAGAACCCUCUCUUCUUCAAAGUCCUGUAAUCUGCCUUGUUUUUUUGAGUGUAAACAUUUUGUAAGCGUCUAAUCACGAGGAUCUAAUAGUUUUUUUAAUCUCCACUCCUGUUUUUACAUGUGGCCAUUGAAAGAACAAAAGGUUAUUUUGGGCUAUUAUAUAAAAGAUUAAAAUUAUGAUCGUACCUAAUUGUUUAAUUUCUAUUUUUAUAAACAAUGUACACGUUUGUAUAAACAGUAUUUUCAUUAAACACUGAAAAGACAUCUCUAGCAAUGUUUCUUUGACAACCACUUUCACUUCAAGAUGGGCAUUGUGGCAUUGUAGCCAUCUCUCCAAAGAUGAAAGUCUCUGUAAGUAUAGUGAAAGAGUGUAUGCAUUUUUCAACAUGGUUACUCUCAUCCAUGUAGGCUACUGCGCUUUAUUUUAAUUGUUGAAACAGCACAAUAUGCGCAUAUAUCCUCUGGUAUGUUGUGUGCCUCCGCAUAUCGUAUAAAUAAUCUUGGUGGGCUGCCAUGGCCAAAAAUGCCAGGGCUGAUUUCUUGUCCCAGUCCAGCCCUGUCUGGAAGGAG
RNA transcript from Hypomesus transpacificus, 3362 nucleotides. RefSeq lists it as uncharacterized. The transcript is spliced from 2 exons. Lineage: Eukaryota; Metazoa; Chordata; Actinopteri; Osmeriformes; Osmeridae. The record is from RefSeq and is a predicted model, not a curated record.